UUCUCCUGCGACAGAACGCGACAGAGGAGCCGCUCAGUGGGGUCAGGGAUGCCCUCCCCGACUCAUUUCUGCCAACGGGUGUCACAAAACCGAACCCUUCGAAUUCGAGCAGACAGAAGUCCCGCAGGGGUAGCUGGCCCCGCCCUCCAAAUCUUCAGUCAUCCUUGUCGUCGCUUUUUGAACCCCUUCCUGCUUCAGAAGUUCAGACUGACCCCAAACGUACUGCUUGCCGAAGAUCUUUAACAAGCGCUUCACCUGAGAGAGGCUCGGAGGGAAGAGCGGGAUGAGUGAGACAGCGAUUCCAG
Ornithorhynchus anatinus (platypus) is the source of this 305-nucleotide long non-coding RNA. RefSeq lists it as uncharacterized. NCBI's taxonomy places the organism in Eukaryota, Metazoa, Chordata, Mammalia, Monotremata, Ornithorhynchidae. The transcript has 3 exons. The record is from RefSeq and is a predicted model, not a curated record.